GGGGGUCACCUAGUGUGGUACAUGCCUGUAAUCCCAGUGACUGGGAGCCUGAGACUGAGAGAGAUCUCUUGGGUUCGAGCGCCCAGAGCUAUAGUGGGUUAUGCAAAUCAGGCCUCCACACUGAGUUCAACCUCAAUAUGUAAAACACAUGAGAGCAAAGGGCCACCAGAUUGCCUAAGCAAAGGGCUAACUGACCCAGCUCAGAAAUGGAGUGGGUCAAAGCUCCCAUGAUUAUCAGCUGUGGAACUGACCCAUAAGUAGUCUGUGCACUUCCAGCCUGGGCAAGAUAAGAAGGCCCAAUCUU
RNAcentral lists this non-coding RNA (304 nucleotides) under Phascolarctos cinereus (koala). The record is from RNAcentral. Lineage: Eukaryota; Metazoa; Chordata; Mammalia; Diprotodontia; Phascolarctidae.